Molecule: ribosomal RNA, 497 nt
Filed under: uncultured bacterium
Lineage: Bacteria
Description: partial 16S ribosomal RNA
Rfam family: Bacterial small subunit ribosomal RNA
Source: RNAcentral
GACGAACGCUGGCGGCGUGCCUAAUACAUGCAAGUUGAGCGCUGAAGGUUGGUACUUGUACCAACUGGAUGAGCAGCGAACGGGUGAGUAACGCGUGGGGAAUCUGCCUUUGAGCGGGGGACAACAUUUGGAAACGAAUGCUAAUACCGCAUAAAAACUUGAAACACAAGUUUUAAGUUUGAAAGAUGCAAUUGCAUCACUCAAAGAUGAUCCCGCGUUGUAUUAGCUAGUUGGUGAGGUAAAGGCUCACCAAGGCGAUGAUACAUAGCCGACCUGAGAGGGUGGUCGGCCACAUUGGGACUGAGACACGGCCCAAACUCCUACGGGAGGCAGCAGUAGGGAAUCUUCGGCAAUGGACGAAAGUCUGACCGAGCAACGCCGCGUGAGUGAAGAAGGUUUUCGGAUCGUAAAACUCUGUUGGUAGAGAAGAACGUUGGUGAGAGUGGAAAGCUCAUCGAGUGACGGUAACUACCCAGAAAGCGACGGCUAACUACGUG